GAACAAUGUACCACACAAUAAUAUAUUAACAAUCAAAUGUGCGCAAAGCAUCACAUUUAUUACACGAAACCGUACAUGCAACAUGAUGGUGAGAUUUCAGAGGAAAGCCACACUACUCCAGAUCCAUGAGCAUUAUCUCAACCACACAAUCACACAUGUCGAAUGAGUAACCAGAUCACACACACAUGGCCCACUCAUUCGACAUCACACAUGCAGAAAAAACAGGAUAUACACAUAGGCAGCAGGCAGAAACACA
This 256-nucleotide long non-coding RNA is filed under the name Setaria viridis. Its description in RNAcentral is "long non-coding RNA (SVIR_LNC008654)". Lineage: Eukaryota; Viridiplantae; Streptophyta; Magnoliopsida; Poales; Poaceae. The record is from RNAcentral.